GGCAGGGGCCUGCUCCUAAGGGUUCAAGUUCUGAGUGUCCAGCUUACUGGCUCUGUGACCCUGAGCCAGUAGCCUAACCUCUCUGAGACUCAGUUUCUGCAUCUGUCAAAGGGGGAUUAAAAACAUCAUCACAGGAUGGCUGGGAAGAUUUGGGGAUGUGAACGGCAUUAUCACUGUGAGCACCUGAGACUCCCAGAGGACGUCUCCAGAGCCCUGAUUACAUCUGUGGAGAGAGCCUCAAACCUCGCAGACGAGCGGCCUAUCGAUCAGCCUGGCAGCUGACGUUUGUCUGAAAAUUUGGAGGAGGGCGAGCGGAGAGCCGGCCGGGCUGGGGUCGUCAGGGGGACCUGUUACCCCAAAGGCAGGGUCCCCCACCCUCCUCGCCUCCGCCAGCCAGGGCCACUGCUUAGAUUAGCAUCACCUAUCGAUCCCUAGCACCGUGACCUUGGGCAAGCCACCUCCCUCCCCUUCCCAGCCUCAGUUUCCUUCCCAUGAGCACGAGCGUGUUGGAGAAGGUGAUUUCAGGGUCCACGACCUUGUGACUCGCAGGCGGGGGCCACAGGCCAGCUGCCGGUGGCCCCGGGGAGCUUGUUAGGAAUGCAGGCUCUCAGGCCCAGCCCAGGCCCGCGGAAUCCGAAUCUGCCUUUUAACAAGCUCCCCCGGCGCCUCCCGCUCACAUUACAGCCCGAGAAGCUCGUCCACGCUUCCGCUCAUUUGGCUACUUCAGAGAUGAACAUGUAUAAGAAACCUCUCAAAGGGAAUGAUUCACCACCUUCGCUGGCCUCGGAAAACUUUUACAGAUUUUCUUCCUUCCCCGAGAACAUUAACCCUGAAAAGGAGCCAGCUCUGAUAUGCCCGCCACCUCCCGUGGUUUGCGCCCCAACAUGGAAAGAUCUUUAUUCGGUGAGCCACACGGCAAGCCUGGGGAUGAAACGACAAGCAGGACCCCCUUCCUGCCCUCAGGGAACUGCCUCUCUAGUAGGAGCCCCGGCCUCCCUCCCUCUAGGCUGAAAAGAUGCGGGAGGGAAAGGCUGGUGGCUUGGGCUUAGUGCCAAGCAUCGCGCUCCCGGCGUGGGCGUCUGAGCAAAUUCCCGGGAACAGCACCAGCCUCUCGUGACUCUCUGUGUUAGUUUCCCGAGGCUGCUAUAACAAAUUACCAGAAACUGGGUGGCUUGAAACAACAUAAAUUAAUUCUCUCCAUAGUUCCGGAGGCCAGAAGUCUGAGAUCCAGGUGCUGGCAGGGCCGUCCUCCCUGCAGAGGCUCCAGGGGAGGGUCCUUCCUGCCUCUUCCAGCUCACGGCACCUGUCGGCAACCCUUGGCUCGUGGCAGCAGUAGUCACAUUGUCUCCUUCUCUUCUGAGGCCACUUGCAACGGCAUUUAGGAUCCACCUGGAUAAGCCAGGAUCAUCUCAUCUCAAAAUCCUUAAUUACAUCUAUAAACAACUUUCCCCCCCCCCAAACAAGGUCAUGUUCACAAGUCCCGGGGAUUUGAUGUGGCUGUUUUGGGGGUGCUGUUUUUCAGCCUAUUCCAAUCAAGACGUGGCCUCACUGGGUGAGUUACUUAUGGGGUGGCUGAGCAUCAGUGUCCUCCCCUGGAAAUUGGGACAAUAAUCCUCCUAGGCUGGUUUUGUGCUUGAGUGUGUGCAGCAGCACCUGGAGGGCUUGCUAAACACAACCAGGGAUGGGGGUGCGGGGGGAUAGGGUGGUCUCUAAUCCAGUGGGUCUGGGCAGGGCCUUAAGAGUGCGUUUCUAACAAGUUCCCAGGUGAGGCUCAGAGCCGCAGGAUUGAACAAAGUGAUGUGUCUACAGUGCUCGACAAGGUCCCCAGCCAAAAUAGAUACUGAAUAGAUAAAUGCUGGUGAACAACCAACAAAAAUGCCACCCGCCACAGCCACUUGGCUAAUCAGAAGACAGCAGAGCAGAGGGGCCGGUCUCCCGUUAAAAGGAGGAAGAUUGCCCAGUGGCCGUGCAGGGGUUGGAUCGGAUGAGGAAGAGACCGGACACAGGAAGAUCGUUUAGGCCGGCUGGUAAAACAAUUCAGGCAACAGAUGACGAGGGCCUGGGCUGAAGCUCAGGCGGGCGCGAGGCUGGCUUGAUGGAUGAAGGCGUGAGCCAACAGAUGAGCAAAUCAUCAGUUAAGCCAGCUUCAUCCCGUCUCGGAAGAGAUGGACUCGGAGUGCAGUGGCAGCGAUGCCUGGUGUCCUUGGGCGACGUACAGAAGGGGCCUGGCUCUGCCUUCCUGGGCACCUCUGCUCUCCCUCUGUCCCCGUGGGGGAUGGCACCUCCCCUGCAAUUACCCGGUGCAGGCUCUGCUCAGCAUCCCCCAAAUGCUACUAAACUGGCUAAUUUCUGUGGGGAUUUUUCUUUAAGCCAGCAUGACACAGGCUUUAAAUCAAUUUGAAAUCCGUUGUCUACAGAUCCGCAUGGAGAGGGUCCUCGGAGGAGCCACCAAUUAUUCUCAUCUGUCAGUGAGGACGGGGAGAUUGUGCCAGGCAUGGGCUGCAGUGGGGACACUCGGGUUUGGAUCAUGGGGAAAGAGUCAGGGGCCCAAGGCCACACCAGGCAGGCAGGAUGCUGAAGCCUUGUGCAUGCUGCCCAGGCUGCAAGGCGAGGGGCUCCCAGCCUGGGUCUGAGUGAGAGACAGAAGGAAGGUGCAGUCGUCAGUUAAAAGGACUGGGUGAGGUCUGGGGACGCCAAGGUCCCCAGUGAGUUCAAGGACUUUGGCCUUUGCUCUCUGGUUCACUCAAGCCAUUAAAUGCGUGAAGUUGAUGAAGUCGGGAAGGAAAGGGCAGGGUCUGGGCGGGCUGGUGCUGGUGGUGGGUAGAGGGAAGGUCAAAGGGACUCAUUAGCAGCCAUUUGCAGCCUGCUUUGGAGCUCAGGAUCACGGAGAGUAUUUAUGAAUAAAAUCAAUCUUGCCCCUGAUGCAGGGAGACAAGCCAAAUUCGCCGGCUCUGUCUUCCUGUCCAAAUGGCUCUCUUCUCCUUCAGAAUAUUGCUUUGUAAUAGAGCCCCUCCUCCCAUCCUCCCCCCACCAGGGACGUUUCCAAUUUAUCAGCCCUAAGUGGAGGACGUGGGGGAGUGGCCGACAUGGCCCUGCCCUGGCGGGACCACUAGGAGCGCCAGGGAGGAGGUGAGGGAAAAGGCUUCGAUGAAGGCAGCCGGUCCUUCUGGGCUUUCCCCACUGUGGGUGUUAGGUUUGUUCCAGGUGGGAACCAGAAAAGUAAGUGUAGGACAGACUGGGGUUAAUGCAAAACAUAGGCUUGGAAAA
Non-coding RNA from Microcebus murinus (gray mouse lemur), 3267 nucleotides. The record is from RefSeq and is a predicted model, not a curated record. NCBI's taxonomy places the organism in Eukaryota, Metazoa, Chordata, Mammalia, Primates, Cheirogaleidae.